UGGUCAAGUUAUUAAGGGUGCAGGGCGGAUGCCUUGGCACUAGGAGCCGAUGAAGGACGUGAUAAGCUGCGAUAAGCUUCGGGGAGUUGCACGUAAACUUUGAUCCGAAGAUUUCCGAAUGAGGAAACUCACUUAGAGUAAUGUCUAAGUAUCAUUAAGUGAAUACAUAGCUUAAUGAGGGGAACUCAGGGAACUGAAACAUCUAAGUACCUGAAGGAAGAGAAAGAAAUUCGAUUCCGUAAGUAGCGGCGAGCGAACGCGGAUUAGCCCAAACCAAUAAAGUUUUCUUUGUUGGGGUUGCGGACAUAUCAUAACGAAGAGGUAUCGUAAUUGAAGAGGUUUGGAAAGACCCACCACAGAAGGUAAUAGUCCUGUAUGUUAAACGAGAAGACUUUAGAUAUGAUCCAGAGUACCACGGGACACGUGAAACCCUGUGGGAAGCAGGAGGGACCACCCUCCAAGGCUAAAUACUACCUAGUGACCGAUAGCGUAUAGUACCGUGAGGGAAAGGUGAAAAGAACCCCGGGAGGGGAGUGAAAUAGAACCUGAAACCCUGCACUUACAAGCUGUGGAAGCACAUUUCUUGUGUGACCGCGUACUUUUUGUAGAACGGGCCAACGAGUUACGUUAAGUAGCAAGGUUAAGCACUUAAGGUGUGGAGCCGUAGCGAAAGCGAGUUUUAACUGAGCGUUCAGUUACUUGACGUAGACCCGAAACCGGGCGACCUACCCAUGAGCAGGAUGAAGCGAAAGUAAAAUUUCGUGGAGGUCCGAACCCACGAGCGUUGAAAAGCUCGGGGAUGACUUGUGGGUAGCGGUGAAAUUCCAAUCGAGCCCGGAGAUAGCUGGUUCUCCCCGAAAUAGCUUUAGGGCUAGCCUCAAGGUGAGAGAUACGGAGGUAGAGCACUGAAUGUCCUAGGGGGUAUUGCACCUACCGAAGACUAUCAAACUCCGAAUGCCGUCAUCUUAUACUUGGGAGUCAGACUGUGGGUGAUAAGAUUCAUAGUCGAAAGGGCAACAGCCCAGAUCGUCAGCUAAGGUCCCUAAAUGUAAGUUAAGUGGUAAAGGAUGUGGGAUUGCACAGACAACCAGGAUGUUGGCUUAGAAGCAGCCACUCAUUCAAAGAGUGCGUAAUAGCUCACUGGUCGAGUGAUCCUGCGCCGAAGAUUUCCGGGGCUAAAACUUACUACCGAAGCUACGGCAUCAGUAAUGAUGGGUAGGGGAGCUUCCCAUACGGGUUGAAGCAUGACCGUAAGGACAUGUGGACAGUAUGGGAGUGAGAAUGUUGGCAUGAGUAGCGAGAUGUGGGUGAGAAUCCCACAGGCCGUAAACCCAAGGUUUCCAGGGGAAGGUUCGUCCGCCCUGGGUUAGUCGGGACCUAAGCUGAGGCCGAAAGGCGUAGGUGAUGGACAACAGGUUGAUAUUCCUGUACUACCGAUAACCGUUUGAGAGAAGGGAUGACACAGUAGGAUAAGCUAAGCACACUGUUGGUUAUGUGUGCCCAAGCAUUGAGGCAGUCAAAGUAGGCAAAUCCGCUUUGAUAAUGCUGGGAUGUGAUGGGGAGCGAAAUUUAGUAGCGAAGUAGCUGAUUUCACACUGUCAAGAAAAGUCUCUAUCGAGGUUAAAGGUACCCGUACCGCAAACCGACACAGGUGGGUGAGGAGAGUAUCCUAAGGCCAGCGAGAGAACUGUUGUUAAGGAACUCGGCAAAAUGACCCCGUAACUUAGGGAUAAGGGGUGCCACCAUCAGGUGGCCGCAGAGAAUAGGCCCAAGCGACUGUUUACCAAAAACAUAGGUUUCUGCUAAGUCGCAAGACGAUGUAUAGGAGCUGACGCCUGCCCGGUGCUGGAAGGUUAAGGGGAUCUGUUAGAGCAAUCGAAGCAGUGAACUUAAGCCCCAGUAAACGGCGGCCGUAACUAUAACGGUCCUAAGGUAGCGAAAUUCCUUGUCGGGUAAGUUCCGACCCGCACGAAAGGCGUAACGAUUUGGGCACUGUCUCAACAACAGACUCGGUGAAAUUGUAAUUCCGGUGAAGAUGCCGGAUACCUGCGACAGGACGGAAAGACCCCAUGGAGCUUUACUGUAGCUUGACAUUGGGUCUUGGUACUACAUGUACAGGAUAGGUGGGAGGCUUUGAAACCAGGACGCCAGUUUUGGCGGAGCCAUCCUUGGGAUACCACCCUUGUAGUACUGGGACUCUAACCAUAGGCCAUGAAUCUGGUCUUGGGACACUGUCAGGUGGGCAGUUUGACUGGGGCGGUCGCCUCCCAAAAGGUAACGGAGGCGCUCAAAGGUUCUCUCAGUACGGUCGGAAAUCGUACGUAGAGUGUAAAGGCAAAAGAGAGCUUGAUUGCAAGACAUACAGGUCGAGCAAGGAUGAAAAUCGGACUUAGUGAUCCGGUGGUUCUGCGUGGAAGGGCCAUCGCUCAACGGAUAAAAGCUACCCUGGGGAUAACAGGCUUAUCUCCCCCAAGAGUCCACAUCGACGGGGAGGUUUGGCACCUCGAUGUCGGCUCAUCACAUCCUGGGGCUGUAGUAGGUCCCAAGGGUUGGGCUGUUCGCCCAUUAAAGUGGUACGCGAGCUGGGUUCAGAACGUCGUGAGACAGUUCGGUCCCUAUCCGUCGCAGGCGUAGGAAAUUUGAGAAGACCUGUCCUUAGUACGAGAGGACCGGGAUGGACGUACCUCUGGUGUACCAGUUGUUCUGCCAAGGGCAUGGCUGGGUAGCUAUGUACGGAAUGGAUAAGCGCUGAAAGCAUCUAAGCGCGAAGCCAACUUCAAGAUAAGAUUUCCCACCGCAAGGGUAAGACCCCAGAAAGACUAUCUGGUUGAUAGGUCGAAAGUGUAAGUGCAGCAAUGUAUUUAGCUUAUCGAUACUAAUAGGUCGAGGACUUGACCAAU
RNAcentral lists this ribosomal RNA (2900 nucleotides) under Clostridioides difficile. RNAcentral's name for it is "bacterial LSU rRNA". It matches the Rfam family "Bacterial large subunit ribosomal RNA". Lineage: Bacteria; Bacillati; Bacillota; Clostridia; Peptostreptococcales; Peptostreptococcaceae. The record is from RNAcentral.